GUUUAAUAAUUGACAACAUUUUAGAAUAAUUUUUAUUUUGGGGUGUGUACUACCUCUUUAAAUCUAAAGGCCUGUUCUUCUUCUCCAAGAGUAAGGAGGAUGGAAACCAGAGGAAGUGAGUGGAUGGUGCUGUUAUACAAUAGGAAAGGCCGUGGGGCAAUUGUGCCCAUAAUACGACUGAGGUGAAGCAGGCUGAGGAGGUGAAGGGUGCCAAUCCAUGAUUCUGUGAGUGGAAAGAUGGGGCAGAAUGCGGAAUGGAGAGUAGACGAAUGAGCAGUCGAGAUGGAUGGUCAGUGUGGUGACUCUUGUAUUUACCUCUGAAAGCCUGUCUACAGUAUGUGCGGCUGGACUCAAAUAUCACAUUAGGAAAUGUUAAACAGUUCAUCAGUGGCUUUGUCUCUCUCCUGUGCUUUGCUUUCCCCCACUGACUUAACAGUUAAAGCAGAAAAUCUGAAAUGUCUGACUCAGUUGGCACAGCAUCAGGGGGCAAUCAGUCACUUUGUGUUACAUCAUGGAUGGCAGGUCAAGUAGAACAGACCCAAUAGCUUUACUGACUGCUGGCCAAAGUAGAGUUUCAGCCAUCCUUCACCUUGCUAGGAAGUGCUAAAAUAAACAGUCAUUCGGUUAGUCUGAAUAAUCAGUUGAGGAU
This is a long non-coding RNA of Cyprinus carpio carpio, 649 nucleotides long. Lineage: Eukaryota; Metazoa; Chordata; Actinopteri; Cypriniformes; Cyprinidae. The record is from Ensembl.